CGUGUUCCAAAAAAAUCCCAAAUUAGGCCCAGGGCCCCUUUCGGCCCUAAUCGCAACUCCGGCACGGCGGCUCCGCCGUGCUCCAGCGACGGCGCCGUUGCUGGCGGCGGCGAUUCGCCUCGGGUUGGCUGUUUACGGCCGUUUCCGGCCGAAUUCGGCCACACUCGCAUCGGUCCCUACGAGAAAACAACUCUAGGGCCCUCGGGGGGCCAAAAAAUCACGGAAAAACGGAGCUUACCGGCGGCGGCGCUCUCGGGUGCGGCGGCUCUCCGGCGAGGUUCGUGUUUUGGUGAUUCGGCUCCGGUCAACCUGUAGAGAAAAGAGUGGUGAUCACGGUGAUAUAAA
RNAcentral lists this long non-coding RNA (345 nucleotides) under Carica papaya (papaya). RNAcentral describes it as "long non-coding RNA (CPAP_LNC011797)". The record is from RNAcentral. Lineage: Eukaryota; Viridiplantae; Streptophyta; Magnoliopsida; Brassicales; Caricaceae.